UGCGUAGGCGGCGACUUAAGCAGGAUGUGAAAUCUCCCGGCUCAACCGGGGAACUGCGUUCUAAACUGGGUUGCUUGAGUGAGAUAGAGGUGUGCGGAACUUCCGGUGGAGCGGUGAAAUGUGUUGAUAUCGGAGGGAACACCGUUGGCGAAAGCGGCACACUGGGUCUUAACUGACGCUGAGGCACGAAAGCCAGGGGAGCAAACG
RNAcentral lists this ribosomal RNA (207 nucleotides) under uncultured bacterium. Its description in RNAcentral is "partial 16S ribosomal RNA". It matches the Rfam family "Bacterial small subunit ribosomal RNA", at positions 568 to 774 of the family's 1533-position model. The record is from RNAcentral.